This 476-nucleotide ribosomal RNA is filed under the name uncultured bacterium. RNAcentral's name for it is "SSU rRNA". It matches the Rfam family "Bacterial small subunit ribosomal RNA", at positions 26 to 518 of the family's 1533-position model. The record is from RNAcentral.
AGGACGAACGCUGGCGGCGUGCUUAACACAUGCAAGUCGAGCGGAAAGGCCCUUCGGGGUACUCGAGCGGCGAACGGGUGAGUAACACGUGAGCAACCUGCCCCUGGCUCUGGGAUAGCCUCCGGAAACGGGGAUUAAUACCGGACAUGACCUGCUGCCGCAUGGUGGCGGGUGGAAAGUUUUUCGGCCAGGGUGGGGCUCGCGGCCUAUCAGCUUGUUGGGGGGGUGACGGCCCACCAAGGCGACGACGGGUAGCCGGCCUGAGAGGGCGACCGGCCACACUGGGACUGAGACACGGCCCAGACUCCUACGGGAGGCAGCAGUGGGGAAUAUUGCGCAAUGGGCGGAAGCCUGACGCAGCGACGCCGCGUGCGGGAUGAAGGCCUUCGGGUUGUAAACCGCUUUCACCAGGGGCGAAGCGAGAGUGACGGUACCGUGGGGAAGAAGCGCCGGCUAACGUACGCGCCAGCAGCCGC